CUUUAUUGGAGAGUUUGAUCCUGGCUCAGGAUGAACGCUGGCGGCGUGCCUAAUACAUGCAAGUCGAGCGAAUGGAUUGAGAGCUUGCUCUCAAGAAGUUAGCGGCGGACGGGUGAGUAACACGUGGGUAACCUGCCCAUAAGACUGGGAUAACUCCGGGAAACCGGGG
RNAcentral lists this ribosomal RNA (169 nucleotides) under Bacillus sp. 5mfcol3.1. RNAcentral's name for it is "16S rRNA. Bacterial SSU". It matches the Rfam family "Bacterial small subunit ribosomal RNA", at positions 1 to 162 of the family's 1533-position model. Lineage: Bacteria; Bacillati; Bacillota; Bacilli; Caryophanales; Bacillaceae. The record is from RNAcentral.